Sinocyclocheilus anshuiensis is the source of this 1272-nucleotide long non-coding RNA. RefSeq lists it as uncharacterized. The transcript is spliced from 4 exons. The record is from RefSeq and is a predicted model, not a curated record. Lineage: Eukaryota; Metazoa; Chordata; Actinopteri; Cypriniformes; Cyprinidae.
AGUCUUAAAACACAAAGAUAAUUUAGAAAAGAAGAUAUGCUCCAAUGGCUUUUUUUCCCCUAUUUUUAUGGCAUGAAAUGGCACGAUGGGCUAAAUCAAAGGUCAUUCGUACAUUAACAUCCAGGCUUUCUGUGGGUCUUAAAAAUUAUUCUUUCCACAAAUUAAUUUCCAUAAAUCAGAGCAGAAAGUCUUAAGUUCAUAAAAUAAUGGCAUUAAAUGUUGCAUUAACUGCUAAAUAAAUAUCUUGUUAGAUUCAAGACAUAAAUACUGGAGGAAGAACAGCACUUUUUUCAGUGUGAGUAGAAGGUGCAGUGAAAGUUAUUUUCAUACUGUUUGGGAUCAAGAAUAAAUUGGUAUGUAGAGCAUCUUUAUGUCACAGAUGCCAAAUAAAGGCAGGAGAGUGAAGCAGCAUGAUGGACAGGAGGAUGAGGAGGAGGAUGUGCCCGUCAAGCAGAUGAAGGUCGUGAACGGCUCCGCUUCGCUGUGAUUCGACUCGCCCCGUGAUUUCUUCCAGAGUCUGAUCGGUCCGGUCGGGCUGGACGAGUUCUUCCAGCAGUACUGGGAGCAGAAGCCGUUAGUCCUGCACCGGUCCGAUCCGGAUCUGGCCUCUUAUUACGGCUCUCUGUUCCAGCUCUGCGCUCACGGCCUGCGAUAUGCCACGGACCUCAACGUCUGCCGCUGUGUGAACGGCAAGAAGAAAGUGCUGAAUAAAGCAGGGAAAGUGAAGUUCAGCCAGCUGAAGAAGGACUUGGAGGAGAGGAGAGCCACUAUUCAGCUGCACCAGCCGCAGAGGUUUAAGGAUGAGCUGUGGCGCAUUCAGGAGCGGCUGGAGAGUUUCUCCGGCUCGCUGCUCUGAUCCAACGUCUACACCACUCCUGAGGCCUCGCAGGGCCUCCCGCCGCACUUCAAUGAUGUGUGCUGAUCCUUCAGCUGGAGAGACAGAAACACUGGAGGCUUUACCAGCCCACCGUCCCUCUGGAGCCCGAGGACCGACACAUGACUUCAUCCUGCAGGUCGUUUCACUUCAUGCUGGACGUGAUUCCCAGCUGUGUGUUUGACUGCAUGAGACGCGAUCCGGUCUGCCUCGUAACCUCCUGACGGUGAGCACAGCACUUCACCAGACACACUAGCACUGACUGUGGCUUUAACCGUGUGUGUGUUUCCUCGCCCCGAUGCCUCAGGCUCCCAGCUUCGGUCCUGACGUUAAGCAGGUGAAUAUAUUAUUUUUAUUUAUAAAACUGAGAGUUCCGGUGCUUGAUUCUGAUUGGCUGA